Struthio camelus australis is the source of this 1234-nucleotide long non-coding RNA. NCBI's taxonomy places the organism in Eukaryota, Metazoa, Chordata, Aves, Struthioniformes, Struthionidae. The record is from Ensembl.
CUUGUAUUUUCUUUUAUUUAUCUCACACAUGCAAAAUACAGACAUUUCAGAACACAAUCAAGGGAAGGAGAACCUCUGUAAUUUGAAUGUUGGAAUGUGACAUUUUCGUCUUUGCACUUUUUUUUAUCAUUUCAGAUAUCUGAGUAGAAAAAUCACUGCACCGUUCAUCUGGGGCAUGAAAUGGCCGAGAAUUAAAUUAUGACUCAUUUUCACAAGAAUUAGGGAGGAGGAAAUAUUAGCUCUUUUCCCACAGCUAAGUCCUGGUAAAUGCCUUAAGCCUAGAUUCAAAAUAGUCUCAUGUGGAUGAAAACCCUGCUCUUCACUGUAUUAAACUCUCAGAAUAAGUGUAGAUGCAAGGCUUUACGAUUCUGCCUAUUCCUUUCAUUCAAGGCAAACAGAUCUGCCUUGAGGUGGUUCCCCCACAUGAGAUUCACAGUGUAGUUAACUGGUGGCAAACAAGUUUUAGGAGCCCUAAUGUCAUCUUCUAUUUCCCUUUGUCCCCUGGGCACUGCAUCGUGCGUGCAGUGAUACUUGAUCUGAAUGUUGAGGGCUGCCAACAUUCUUAACCUUUAUUUUGCAAAAAUACAAGGGCAGUCACAAACAGUGUCUGAAUGGUUUAGAGGCAACAGCUGGGAUUACAGAGUUCAGUAGCCUACAUGCAAGGCAGCAUCGCAGCAGAAGGACACGGGCUGCCCUUGGAAAUGCCUCAAAGCCUGAAUUCUUCUUCUCGAAAGCAGAUCCAGCUGCAGGGAGGUGGGCACUGAGAGUCUGAAACUCUCUCUUCUGCAUCCAGGGGAGUCACGCUGCCUUUAGGCUGGGUUUGCUUAGCACCGGGCAUGGCCAGGACGUGUGACAGCGGAGCAAUUCUGCAAGUGAGAAAGAAAGGAGGGAAGGAGUCCAAGAUAACGAACACCAUUGUAAAUAACUCGUCAUUUCCCCAGGCGGAACCAACGUUUCCCUUUUCAUCUCCCGACCAGCCAGGAUGCCAGCCUCUAGCUCUAGUCCAUUUUUCUCCCUUCAGAUUGCGGGAUGCAUCUCUGGGACAUGAGAUCUGUGGGGAACAUAAAUGGGACAAAACAAGGCUACCCUUGAUGGGUGUUUGCAGAGGGGAAAGGCCAAGGAGAAUGGAGAAGUGCCUAGCGUGGCAGAAACGUGGGAGAGAGAAACGUAAGUAAAAGUACAGUUGCGAGGGAGGGCUGGGAGUGAAUGAGAGUGACAUUGCCUCCUUCAUGAC